RNAcentral lists this ribosomal RNA (494 nucleotides) under uncultured bacterium. RNAcentral describes it as "partial 16S ribosomal RNA". It matches the Rfam family "Bacterial small subunit ribosomal RNA", at positions 28 to 507 of the family's 1533-position model. The record is from RNAcentral.
GACGAACGCUGGCGGCGUGCUUAACACAUGCAAGUCGAACGGUGAAGCGCCUUCCUUUUUGGUGGGUGUGGAUGAGUGGCGAACGGGUGAGUAACACGUGAGUAACCUGCCCCCUUCUUCUGGAUAACCGCAUGAAAGUGUGGCUAAUACGGGAUAUUCUGGGUCUGUCGCAUGAUGGGUCUGGGAAAGAUAUUGUUUCGGUGGGGGAUGGGCUCGCGGCCUAUCAGCUUGUUGGUGGGGUGAUGGCCUAGCAAGGCGGUGGCGGGUAGCCGGCCUGAGAGGGUGGCCGGUCACAAUGGGGCAGGGACACAGCGGGGACUCGUAAGGGAGGCAGCAGUGGGGAAUAUCGGACGAUGGGCGCAAGGCUGAAGCAGCGACGCCGCGUGGGGGACGGAGGCCGUCGGGUUGGGAACCUCUUUGGCCAGUGAAGCAGGCCUGCCUCGUUUGUGGGUGGGUUGACGGUAGCUGGAUAAGAAGCGCCGGCUAACUACGUG